Long non-coding RNA from Brassica napus (rape), 1637 nucleotides. RefSeq lists it as uncharacterized. The transcript has 3 exons. The record is from RefSeq and is a predicted model, not a curated record. Lineage: Eukaryota; Viridiplantae; Streptophyta; Magnoliopsida; Brassicales; Brassicaceae.
CGGAUCCUCUGUUUCUUCCGAUGAGAGAUCUGAGUGAAGCUGAUCUUAAUCGAGCUAAUAUAUGUGUCUGAAGUGUACUGGAGGGAAGGAAAGGUCAACAAAACCAAAGCGUUGAUCUUGUCUCCAUUGAAAAAGAAGAUGUCUGAAAAGAAACUCGUUUUUGUGUCUAUAGCUUCACCAAACAAUUUAACUCCUACAUCUGAAAAGCCUCUACUCUACUAUGGCCUAAACGCGUGAAAGACUGUGGAAGCUGACAUAAGUGGCUCUAUUCGUUUGAAACCAGAGCAGUAAAAAUAUACAUGGCUCCUAUGAAGAUCCCAGGCGCUCAUUAUUAUAAAAGAAGUAAGAUGAUGUUAGGAAACCAAUCAAAGCCAUAUCAGACUGACGCGAGAUUGCAUGGUUUUCUUCCAUCUUUUUAAGAAGUAUUAUUUAGCGCCUUGUCUGCAGUAUGAAGUUAUGAGUAUAAUAAAUAUGUACUGCUGUGUGAGUAUAUUACAAUUAUAUUCUUAUUUAGCUCUGUUUUAUACUUCAGGAGAUGCAGUUAUAAAAAGUAUAAGUUCAGCUUCCUCAUUGACCAAACGAACGCAAAGUGCAUUCAGAAACAACUUCUAGCAUUGGAAUAACAUGUAAGUCACUUAACCGAACUUAGCUAGCACUUAGAAGUCAGGAAUGGAAUAUAGAUUAGAAUUCGAGAAAGGAAUAUCGGUUAGAAGUCAGGAAUGGAAUCUGAAUGUUGUUGCUAGUAUGUCUGUUGCGUGCUUCCAAAGGAUGUAUGAAUCCGAAUGUUGUUUACUUGGUUGUCCAUUGUGUGCUUAUAUGUAGGUUAACAAAUACAAUGUCGUUUGCUUGUAAUGUCUGUUGUGUGCUUUUGUUUGCAUGAAUAAAUUAGAGAGAUAAAUGAAAAACUUCCAACUUGCAAGUUAACUACACUGUUUGAAAAAAUAGAAAUAAGUUUAAAUACGUUAAAACACACAGCAAACUAAACAUUAAAAUUAGAGAUUCAGAAAGAUCUCUUUGAAAACAACAUUCUUUGUCUCACACUUAGGCUUUCCUUGAUCAUCAACAACCAAAAUCUUCAAUCCCUUUUUUGAUGUAACUCUGGAAACAGCUACGUAUAGUUGUCCAUGAGAGAAGACAUCUCUUGGAAGACAUCUCUUGGUAGAUACAAACCAACAUGGGAUAGCGAUUGACCUUGACUCUUAUUAAUUGUAAUAGCAAAUGCAACUGCAAUAAGCAGCUGCCUCCUCCUCAUCUUGAAAGGCAAUUUAUUAUCAGAAGGUGUAAUAGAAAGUCUAGGAAUGACCACAGUUUUUCCCACCUUUUCUCCUGUGAUCACUUUAGCCUUUACCAAUAAAUCAUCCAUCUCUGUAAUCUGGAGUCUUGUGCCAUUCAUCAAACUGUUUGUAUGAUCGAUGUUUCUAAGCAGCAUCACUGGACAUCCGACUUUCAAGCGAAGACUGUGAUUUGGCAGACCAGAAACCUUGAUGGUGUUUAAGAAAUCGGGAGUUAGAGCCUGGUCAUUUCUCGAAAAUCUAUCAGAAGCAUCAAUUGAGUCAGAGCUUAAGUAAAUCCUUUCUUCUCCUGCAUGUUACAAACUCAAAAAUUAAAUAAUAAUCAAAAACGAUUUCAGUAGCCAA